Molecule: long non-coding RNA, 916 nt
Organism: Quercus lobata
Lineage: Eukaryota; Viridiplantae; Streptophyta; Magnoliopsida; Fagales; Fagaceae
Exons: 4
Source: RefSeq, a predicted model, not a curated record
UACAAAAUCCUUUGGGAAAAUAGAACAACGUGCAAAACAUGGCUUUAAGUGAAAUGGCAAUUGAUUGUAACUGAGCUUCAAUGCAGGGUUUUCUUUCUCGUUCCUGUUGAGGAAGUGCUAGCCAGAGAGAGCUCAGAGCUCGGAGAUGAUGGAAGUACUCUGCAAUUGCCAGAAAGCACCUUGCCGCUUGACAGGUUGUGAGGAUUUGAUGCAGCCUGUGGAUCGUCUGGUGCCUCAGAUUAUCUGCCUGUCAUCUAUUUCAAAUUGAAACAAUAAUGAUGAUAGUGUACUUGGUCCAAACCAAGGAAAACAAUACCACUAUAAGUCAACUUAUGACUAAAUGGUCAUGCUUAGGUGUUUGAUUUGCUAAUAGCCCUUGGAUUUUUGUAUUUUUAUGGGUAUAAUUGGAAUCUCACAUUUUUGCCUAGAUCGCCUUAACCGUCUCAGAGAGUUCGCCAAGGACAGUGUCCGCCUGGUUAAGCGCUGCCACAAGUUCGAUUGCAAAGGUCAUGUGAAGAAGCACUAAUUUGCUAGAGGUGGAAGGCAGAUGGGUCAGAGUGAUACUUAAUGUUAAAGAGGAAUGCUUAGCAAGUAGCUUCUUAGGUCUUAUUUGAUUGGCUUGGAAUUGCGAUUAGAAUCUGAUUCCCAGCUAGCAGUUCAAUGGAUUACAUCAGAGAACAAUUCAUAUCCUCCACUUCCAAUAAAUUUAAUCAAUGAUUGCAGGUAUCUACUUACACAAAUAAGGACACAGAGACAAAUAGAUGUGCAGGUAUCCACUUCAUGACACAUAUCCCACCUUUUUUAUUACUUCUUUCUUUUGCUAUCAUAUAAGGAUGGUGCAAAUGCAUACAGCAUACCCCUAACUUUUUGUAUAUAUUUUUGUUGGUUGUAACUUGUAACUUAUUUUGGUGCAUAA